AACAAAUAAAAAUUUUGUAGUGGUGAAACAUCAAAAGGAUGCUGGCUUGCACGUCAAACUACUACGCUCUACACAACCAUAUCACCUACCUGAUUACUCUAUUAUCAUCCAUGUUUGACUCGUGUUAAAUUUUAUCUGCAGCUAUAUGUUCAAACUCAACAUACAAUUCAACAUCGACAUUUGAGCUCGAGUCUUUUGAUGAAUCUAAAACAUCUAUUACAUACUUGCUUCUUCAUCAACGAUGGAUAUUGUAUCAAACUGUAUUAGUCUACCAAAUAUGAUAACAGGAUUUCUGUACAACUCACUAAAAGUCCCACUUUUAUCAUCUCCUUGAACUCAGUCUAGAAAUUAUCUAGCCUCACACCACUGAUACUUAUACACACACUAAAACAAAUAAGGGUUUUCACAACGGUCGAAAACUAUUGCCAUAUAUCGAAAAACCGUUCCUAAAACUUUAAGUAAUGCUUUGGCAAUGGUUUUUGACCUGUGAUAUAUGCGGCCGUUGCCAAUGCUCAUCGGCAACGGUUUUUACCUAAGGCAACGACAACUAAAAAAAUCGUUGCCAUAGUUAUUAGCAUAGACAAUUGUUUUGACAACAGUUUAGAACCGUUACUGGAUAGGCAACAGUUUAGAACCGUUCUCUUUCACGACGUAGGUUUAAAACCAUAAUGGUAUAGGCAACGGUUUUAAGCUGUUGUAGUUUUGUUAUUCACAAAGACAAUGGUUUAAAAGCGUUGCCUUUGGUGUUGUAUUUUUUGCUAUGAUUUUCAUAUUGUUGCCAUU
Molecule: non-coding RNA, 783 nt
Organism: Arachis ipaensis
Lineage: Eukaryota; Viridiplantae; Streptophyta; Magnoliopsida; Fabales; Fabaceae
Source: RefSeq, a predicted model, not a curated record